UACGGGGGGAGCAAGCGUUGUUCGGAUUUACUGGGCGUAAAGGGCGCGUAGGCGGUCGUGACAAGUCACUUGUGAAAUCUCCGGGCUUAACUCGGAACGGUCAAGUGAUACUGUCGGACUAGAGUGCAGAAGGGGCAACUGGAAUUCUCGGUGUAGCGGUGAAAUGCGUAGAUAUCGAGAGGAACACCUGCGGCGAAGGCGGGUUGCUGGGCUGACACUGACGCUGGGGCGCGAAAGCCAGGGGAGCGAACGGGA
This 255-nucleotide ribosomal RNA is filed under the name uncultured prokaryote. RNAcentral describes it as "partial 16S ribosomal RNA". It matches the Rfam family "Bacterial small subunit ribosomal RNA", at positions 524 to 777 of the family's 1533-position model. The record is from RNAcentral.